UUUUAAGUGUAUUAAAUUUGACAUACUUAGAGUGACAAUUCAAUAUACUUAUGGGAAGUAUAUUUUUUGGAAAUUAAUUGUUAAUUUACUUUUUUAGCAUACUAGGAUCUCACUUCAUUAGAAGUGUGACUUCUGUACACUUUAUACAGUACACUAUAAAAUAAGUGUAUUUUUAGUUGCAUAUCAGAGUACUUUCAUAAAAUACGUUAGAAUAAUAAAAUGUAGGCUAUACACUGCAUGAAAAGAGCUGUAUCCAGACAAAUACGGAUGGGAAAUCCCUGCUAAACUUUAGGUUUGCCAGAUAAAUGAGGCAGAGUGCUUGGAAACGUAAUACUCAGAAGUAAACUCGUGAAACAUCCAGAAACCUUGUGUAUAUGGAUGUAUACUGGUGGAAGUUUCUAGGAAUCCUCACAGCUGGUUGUAAGGAGUGCUGGUUGUGAGGUGUGAAGGGUUAAUGACAGAGUUGCUGUCUCUGUUUUCAAAGCUGGGUGGGGGGUUCAAGGCAGCACAUAACAUAAAAACAUUAUAUAUCUACAAGUGUGUUUACUAAAUACAUGUAUUAUUAUGCUAAUGUAAUUUAAUUGAUAAAGGUUUUUUUAUUUAAGAAAAUCUGAGCAUCACUCAAAAUAACUGUCAACAUGUUUGUCAACUAAACAUGUUUUGUAAACGUUAUACAUUUUAUAAAAAUAUUUAAUAUUUUUAUUAUUGAUAAAGUAUAAAGAACAAAUCAGUGUGAAAACGCAGAUUAUAAAAAGUACAUAAAGUGCCAGCAGAGGAUCCAAAAUAAUGAAAAAAAAAAAAACAUCCAAUGCAACUUGGAAAUUGUAGUCAAAAUACAUCUACAGCAGCAUGCUAAAGCAGUACCAACGCCAGGGCAAAAGACUCAAAUUCCCAGAAUGCACCUGCACCCACCCAUUCAUUCCCACCAAUCAGGAUCAACGGCAUUUUUCAAACCGCUACUGACUCGUUUUCAUGCUAAACAGUACGGCUGAUAGGUCAUGUACCAUGUGGUCGACCUUGCUGACGCUGAAGAGGUUUCUGUGUAAAAAUGAUAUGCAGUGAGGGAGUGAUUCCCCAACAUCGAGGUGGCAGAGAUCCGGGACCUUCUACGGAGGAAGUGCAACAAUGCCAGUUACAAGGCCUCCAGUAGUUCAAAUCAGAGCUAGAUGUCCAUAUAGUACAAGUUGUUCGCAAUUGUUCUCUUCCCGGCAUUUCAAAGAAAGUCGACUGUUUAAGGUUCCCCAUUUUGCCAA
Long non-coding RNA from Paramisgurnus dabryanus, 1253 nucleotides. RefSeq lists it as uncharacterized. NCBI's taxonomy places the organism in Eukaryota, Metazoa, Chordata, Actinopteri, Cypriniformes, Cobitidae. The record is from RefSeq and is a predicted model, not a curated record.